UGAAUAUAGUGCAUAUGUCUGAUUGGUCUCAUUUUCAAAAUAAACAUACAUAACAUCCAAUAGUUCUUCAGUAACACAUUUUUGAAAUGUCUAGAAACUACAUUUACAAUGGAUGCUUUCACGUUGAAAAGUGGUAAAGUACGAGAUAAACGAAACAGAAAGUUUUUGUUCAUUAUGCCUGAAUAUAAAUUAAAGGAUAUUUCUCUGCUGAAAAGAAUAUUUCACGACAAAGGCGAGUAUUUAAUAUUUGCUAAACACGACAAAUCGUUGAGGGUAUAUUUUGUUUGCAAAGUCAACAAGUGGAGACAUUAUGACAUAAAAACAUUCAAUACUAGAUGUGAGUUUUUAGAUGAAUCCUGGAAGGAGCUUGAUGAUAUUAUACAUUUCUGUAAACAUGAAAGCCAAUCGUUUAAAGAGAUGGGUACCAAGAAAACUUGAAUCGUGGGAGAAGGAAUGAUUUACGUAACGCGAUUGAAGACCAAAAGAAUGGUUAUAACGAAGAGGAAAUGGCCAAGAAAUAUAAAGGGACAUGGAAACGGUGGAGACAAUUCAUCCGAGCUAUUGCCAGCGAUGAAAAAAUGGCAGAACGUCAAAACAUGACAGAACAGUAGGGAAAACACUGCACACGAAUGCGCACUUUGAUCGAUUACAAUUUCAAUUAAUUAAUUUAAUUUAUUUAAUUUAUUAAAUUUAUUUAAUUUAUUGAAUUUAUUCAAUUUAUUUAAUUUAUGUAAUUUAUUUAAUUUAUUUAAUACUAUUU
This 760-nucleotide long non-coding RNA is filed under the name Mytilus galloprovincialis (Mediterranean mussel). The record is from RNAcentral. Lineage: Eukaryota; Metazoa; Mollusca; Bivalvia; Mytilida; Mytilidae.